GACGAACGCCGGCGGCGUGCCUAAUACAUGCAAGUAGAACGCACAGUUUAUACCGUAGCUUGCUACACCAUAGACUGUGAGUUGCGAACGGGUGAGUAACGCGUAGGUAACCUGCCUGGUAGCGGGGGAUAACUAUUGGAAACGAUAGCUAAUACCGCAUAAUAUUAAUUAUUGCAUGAUAAUUAAUUGAAAGGUGCAAUUGCACCACUACCAGAUGGACCUGCGUUGUAUUAGCUAGUAGGUGAGGUAACGGCUCACCUAGGCGACGAUACAUAGCCGACCUGAGAGGGUGAUCGGCCACACUGGGACUGGGACACGGCCCAGACUCCUACGGGAGGCAGCAGUAGGGAAUCUUCGGCAAUGGACGAAAGUCUGACCGAGCAACGCCGCGUGAGUGAAGAAGGUUUUCGGAUCGUAAAGCUCUGUUGUAAGAGAAGAACGGGUGUGAGAGUGGAAAGUUCACACUGUGACGGUAUCUUACCAGAAAGGGACGGCUAACUACGUG
RNAcentral lists this ribosomal RNA (505 nucleotides) under uncultured bacterium. Its description in RNAcentral is "partial 16S ribosomal RNA". It matches the Rfam family "Bacterial small subunit ribosomal RNA", at positions 28 to 507 of the family's 1533-position model. The record is from RNAcentral.